GGCACAUCAUUCCCCCUCAAUCGAUCAAUCGUAUUCUCUUUCUCCUUGCGCCGACGCAACCAUCGCCGUGAAACUGGUGGGAUCAAGUAUCUACCGCGCUGGCGUCCAGGUUGAUACGGAGCAUCCACCUUGGGGAGUAGCCUCGGGAAACUUUGACAUUGCCAACAAUGAGGUAACGGUACUCCGGCGCCGGCAAUGAGAUUUGGGACAGGUUCGGAUCAAGGAAGUGUCCGGCUGUUUGAUAUCAAAACCUGGAACUAGCUUCAAGUAUAUGAGCAACCAAAUGGUAGUGAUGAGGUGUCUCAUGUAACUUCAAUUGCAUUUUCCAUCUCGGGCCGGCUUCUUUUUGCUGGAUAUAAAGAUGGGGAUUGCUAUGUAUGGAGACACUCUGUUAGCACAAGUACACACAGAUAGGCAUUCUUGACAUACUGUUUUAUUAUCUUUGAGUGUGUUUGUUUGUUUUUUGUUUAUAUGUAAAUAUAUUAUUAGGAGAUGAGACGGGUUUGGUUUACUUUUAAUAACACACAGUUUUCAAUUUGGGAUUUCUUCAAAGUUCACAUGAUGGUCGGAUGAGUUGUGUGGGAUUAACUUCUGACUUGAUUGGGUUGUGCACAAGAAGUUGGGACACCAAUCUUAAGAUUUUGGCGUUUGGAGGGUACCGCAGAGUUAUCUGAAAGAGAAGAGAAGAGGGAGAAGGUGAGGUGAGGCAUAUGAAGGGAUUGGGACUGUAUAUUCCAGUAAAGUGAUGAAGGUUCUGACUAAUGAAAUUUCUCGUUUUCAAUCGUGCAGCUUCUUCAUUGACCUGGUUCUUGGAUACUUUUGCCAGGGAUUCAAUUCCACUUUACUCUCCUUCUGUUGGUAAUUGCAGCUCAUGCGCCACCCCUGAAGCAUAUCAAUCGAUUCCUUAAUGUUCUGCCCCCGUUUGCCUUAUGGAUUGGAUGCCGUAGAUGUGUUUGGAUGGUAGGUUGUUACGGCUAUGUGUAAUACCUAUGGAAUAGAUGCAUAAACAUUUGGAAUUAUCUUUUGUGUGGUGAGAAUUGUUGCAAUGGAUUGAUGGAUUUCCCCACUUGCUUAUUACUAGGUUGGAUGUUUAAAAUGCUUGCAUUUUGCGGAACAUAAUGUCGAAGUGAAGAUGUUGCUAGGCUUGUUUGAUGGGUUACUUUAUUUUGUUGUUUGGCGGUGGACAUCGUCUAGUAAAUAUUGCUAUGUUAAUAUCCUAUGUUGGGAUUCCCUUAUAGUGUUUAUUGUUUGCAAUUAUGGCCAAUCGUAAUUUUUAUAGCA
Andrographis paniculata is the source of this 1281-nucleotide long non-coding RNA. RefSeq lists it as uncharacterized. The record is from RefSeq and is a predicted model, not a curated record. NCBI's taxonomy places the organism in Eukaryota, Viridiplantae, Streptophyta, Magnoliopsida, Lamiales, Acanthaceae. The transcript is spliced from 7 exons.